GGUGGCACUGGGGCAUCCCUUGGCAGUGACACCUGCAGGGUGGCACUGGGGCAUCCCUCGGCAGUGACACCUGCAGGGGUGGCACUGGGGCAUCCCUUGGCAGUGACACCUGCAGGGUGGCACUGGAGGAGCCCUCAGCAGUGACACCUGCCCAGGGCAGGGAUGGCAUGGGACAACCCUGGUGGCUUUGGCAUUUUGCUGUGACUUCACGGAGCUCUGCCACAGCCAUGCCCAUGGUGCCCUGCUGGGAGCUGCUGCUGGGGCACAGGUGACACAGGGACAGCCCCAGCUGGCUGCUCCUGCAGGACAGGACCUGGACCUGCUCCUGGACCUUCCUGUGGCCACUGGAGAGCCCAUCCCUGUGUGAGCAGCGGGCACAAGUGCCAAGGAUGGGCUCUGGCUGCUGGGAUUGGGAACUCCACGGGGUUCCAGGGCUUUCACCUGCCUGCUCUGGGACCCAGCUUUGCAAUCCUGCAGGGUUCUUCCCAUUCCUGAAGGUUUUCGCUUGCCUGCUUUAGGACCCAGCUUUUGGAAUCCUGCAGUUCUCUUCCCUCCCUGGAGGGUUUUCACCUGCCUGCUCUGGGACCCAACAUUUGCAAUCCUGCAGUUCUCUUCCCUCUCUGGAGGAUUUUCACCUGCGUCCUUUAGGACCCAGCCUUUGCAAUCCUGCAGUUUUCCCCUGAGGCAGGGCGGCUCCUCCGGACGCACACCGCUGUAGAUACCCGAUGUGUCCUGUGGGAUGUGACGCUUUCCCAGUGGUUUUUGGGUGUCAGAGUGCAGUGUACAAACCUGGUGUGGCUCAGUGCUGUGCUUCUAGCGCGUCCUUCACGUCGUGCUUUGCUUCUCGAGGCUCGUUGCGUCGUCGCUGUGGAUAGACCAGUAUCAACCUUAGCUCUUCGGUGGUGUGGAAGUGUUUAAGUGUGGUUUGCCUCACAUACUGAUCCGUAUUUGGCAGCUAAUGGCGUUAAGUGACCAUGAGUUCUCUUUGUCUGGGUUGGAAAAUAAAAGGUUUUAUUGUAUCCGCAUGUAUUUUAAAAUUUUUGGAUAAUUCAUCGACCUGUGAUGACAGCACAUGUAAAAACCGAUCUUUUCCUUUUAUUCAGAAGUUCUAUUUGCUGUGGUAGCACUUGUUGUUGGCACUGAUGGUAGUGAUUUCCAUCCUGUUUUGUACAUCAGGUUUCAUGAUUACAGUGUUUCAGUUUGUACAAUUGUUUAUGUAAAAACGAUUUGGUCUGAAGAGAUGCCGUGUGUUCACUUCUGAUCCUAGACACAUACGAGAUCCUACUGGUAAUACUGUUAGUAGUUACAACUGUACCAGACUUAUUUUUUACAGAGCUUUACAUGCCUUUAUUUAUUCCUUUAUCGGACCAUCCAAACCAUGUACUCCGUAGUUCAGUAUUUGUAGACCAGUUUCACAAAUCAACUUAAGGUAUUGUGGCAAAGCUUCGAAUAAAUGUUUACUGAGACUUUGCACUGA
Long non-coding RNA from Zonotrichia leucophrys gambelii, 1477 nucleotides. RefSeq lists it as uncharacterized. The transcript has 3 exons. Lineage: Eukaryota; Metazoa; Chordata; Aves; Passeriformes; Passerellidae. The record is from RefSeq and is a predicted model, not a curated record.